CUUGUAUUUUGGUUUCUUUGCUCAUCGUACUUGUUUCUGCGGUGGUUGAACUCCUGCGAGUACGUGAAUUUGCUGAGACGGUUUCGAUUUUCGCUCAUGUUUAUAUUUGAAAUGGUGAGAUGAAGGGUGGGAAACGUCAAUCUUUUGGUGGAGAGAGGGGGAUGAAGGGGUUGAGAUCCUCUGUUGCUUGCUGAAUUGUUUGUCUGACUUCUUUCGUUUUUUUUUUUCGGGGAGUAUGGUUAAAGGCUUUAAGGUGGUGGUGCGUUUAGGACAGGUGUCAUGCAUGGCCAGAUACAGAGAUUUUAUGUAUCGAAAGUGGUGAAGUAAUGAGAUUGCACGCCUUGCAGAAGGGGUAAACGUAAGAGGAUGCAUUUUUGAAACGCAUCAAUUAGAGCCUGCAAGUGCAGUUUGUUGAUGUUUUCAUGUAAAAGACGAAAACAGAGGAUGAGCGGCGGAGGUUUUUCUUUUUCCUUCUGAAUACUGAACUGAAGUUCUGGGCGAGUACCGUAGUUUGAUUUCAGUUCUUGCUGGCUUCUUUUGUUGGGAAUGAGAGAGUUGAAGUUAUUAAUUAUGAGUUCUCUGUAAGGUUGUAUUUUUGUGAAGUGUUUAGCUUCCAUAGAAGUUUCGAGAAUUUUAGUGGAAGCAGGGGAAGCAUUUGUAUCUGGAGCUUCACGCCUCCUUAGGUUUUCUUGGAUUGUGACAUGAAAGCUAAUUCUAUUAUAUGGAGGUUUCUAUAAGUUUUUUUGCAAAUGGGUUCAGGACAUUUCCUAUGCAUGACAUGAUAUAGAAAUUUUAUGUAUUCUACAUGUUGAAAAUGAGCAAUAAUUGUGAAUUUUACACAUUGCAAAAAUGAAGAAAGUACAAAGAAAAAAUUGUUAGUAUUAGGUCCACUGCCAGUGUAAAGUUAUUCUUGCAGAUUCAUUUUUAGAUGAGUGUUAUGCAUGUUUUGAUUUAUCUUUGUAACCGAAUUCUUUCACUUGUUAAUAAUCCAACGGUGAAUGUGUACACUAGCAGAGGACUUAAUAAA
Rhodamnia argentea is the source of this 1027-nucleotide long non-coding RNA. RefSeq lists it as uncharacterized. The record is from RefSeq and is a predicted model, not a curated record. The transcript has 2 exons. NCBI's taxonomy places the organism in Eukaryota, Viridiplantae, Streptophyta, Magnoliopsida, Myrtales, Myrtaceae.